Molecule: non-coding RNA, 111 nt
Organism: Acanthosepion pharaonis
Lineage: Eukaryota; Metazoa; Mollusca; Cephalopoda; Sepiida; Sepiidae
Source: the annotation of a GenBank genome assembly
CUUGCGGCUAUAUCACGUUGAAACACCGGUUCCCGUACGAUUACCUAAGUUAAGCAACUCCGAGGCUGGUCAGUAUCUAUAUGGGUGACCAACUGGGUAUACCAGGUGAAG